RNAcentral lists this ribosomal RNA (948 nucleotides) under Triticum aestivum (bread wheat). RNAcentral's name for it is "partial small subunit ribosomal RNA". The record is from RNAcentral. Lineage: Eukaryota; Viridiplantae; Streptophyta; Magnoliopsida; Poales; Poaceae.
AUGUGCGCCCACUUGGUCGAGGAGCUGCGCAUGGACGUGAACGCCGUCGACAACGGAGGUAGAACGCCUCUGAUUCAUGCUAUGUACGGUGAGAAGGUGAGCACUUUCAAGUAUCUUCUUGAUCAUGGUGCCAAUCCAGACAGAGUUGACCCUAAUGGAUUUGCCCCUCUACAUUCUGCUGCUGGAUCAGGAUAUUGUGAAAUGGUAAAGCUAUUACUUGCAAGAGGAGCUUGCACCGAUCCGGUAACUUGCUGCGGGACACCACUUCAUAUUGCUGCUACUGAAGGGCAAGACCUUGCUAUGAAGAUUUUACUUGGCCACAAUGCAGAUUACAACAAAAUGAUAAAUGGUAUGACACCUCUCUAUUUUGCUAUAAAUGUCUCCUCGGUGAAAUGUGCAAAACUCCUGAUUCAGGCUGGUGGUGUUGCCAAUGGAGAUUUUAUAUUAACUGCUUUAGCUGAUGCUCCAAGCAAUGGAUCAGCGGAGUGCUUGAAUUGCCUACUGGGGUUUGGUGGUGAAUGGCAUGCUCGUAAUGAUGAGGAGCCUGUGGAUAGAAAGAAAGUAGCAGAAUUGAAGUCACAAGGGAGCAAGGCAGUUGCAAGAAAGGAUUUUCUUUCUGCAGCAGAAGCCUACAGUAUGGCACUGGAGCUUGAUCCUGAUGACGCGACGUUGUUCUCAAACAGGAGCCUUUGCUGGCUUCACAUAGGUAAAGGAGGCAAGCCUUUGCUCAGUUUACUGGAUGCUUAUGAAUGCAAAAAGAGGCGGCCUGAUUGGUCGAAGGCCUUCUACAGGGAGAGCAAAGCUCUAGCGUUACUGAAGGACUACAAGGGUGCAUGCGAUGCGCUUCUGAACGUAUUGAAGAUGGACCCAGGGAAUGCCGAAAUUGAGGACGGAUUGCGGAAAGCUAUGGAAUCCUUGAAGGUGUCUCAAAGCACCAAGGCCCAGUGA